GAGGGUAUAGCUCAAGUAAGAGCACAUGCUUAGCAUGCAUGACAUCCUGGGUUCAAUUCCCAGUACCUCCU
RNAcentral lists this transfer RNA (71 nucleotides) under Camelus bactrianus (Bactrian camel). It matches the Rfam family "tRNA". From Rfam's summary of the family: Transfer RNA (tRNA) molecules are approximately 80 nucleotides in length. Their secondary structure includes four short double-helical elements and three loops (D, anti-codon, and T loops). RNAcentral also lists the same sequence under 2 other names. Lineage: Eukaryota; Metazoa; Chordata; Mammalia; Artiodactyla; Camelidae. The record is from Rfam by way of RNAcentral.